This is a non-coding RNA of Ciona intestinalis (vase tunicate), 698 nucleotides long. Lineage: Eukaryota; Metazoa; Chordata; Ascidiacea; Phlebobranchia; Cionidae. The record is from RefSeq and is a predicted model, not a curated record.
UGAUUUAAUAAGUGGUAGCAUACGUUAGUAAAAUGUUAAAAAAUGUUUGAAACUUUUUUUUUGUUACAUCACAAUUAUAUAGAGAAAUACACGCAUGCACAGCAUUUAACGGUGUGUAUUUUUGGUCAACACUAAUAGUGUAACAGUUACUAAGCCAACCCUUAUAUAUAUCUAUGAGGCAAUCGCAGAAAUUGUGAAUCAACAAAUUUUAUAUUUGAAGGAAUUGCAGGAUGGUGUUAUCAUGCGUUGCAUGGGGCUGCACCAAUAGAAAAACCAAGGAUUGUGCACUAAGUUUCCACAGGUCUGCUUAUAGUUGUUGUUGUAACGGUUGACUGUGCUCUGGUUCAGAUUUAAUGAUAUAAAGAUACCCGAAUUUAACUGUAAUGAAUAAAGAUUGAAUAUUCAACAAGGCUGUAUAGCGAAAAGAAAUGUAUGGCUGUAAUGGAAUGUACUUUCCCUUCAUUCCAAUCGUGAUCAUAAACAAUUACCAGUCUUGUGUAUGCCAGUUGAAGCAAUUAACCCAUGCCAUAAGGUGUUUAUUAUUUUGUGACACAUGUUUUCCGUUAUAUAAACCUUGCACUUUUUUGUAUUGGGAGGCAGUACGGACGAAGAAGUUCCUGUGCUGUUUUCACUUUUGUCUCAAGCUUCGUACAAUAAACUGAGCUAUCUUACAAUGCAAUACAACGUCUUACAAUCAU